CCGCAUCAUACAGACAGUGAUCAUAUCCUGAUGUAACCCAUCGCUCUCCAGCUGGAGGAAGUGCUGCUUUAUAAUCACAGAACAUUCACUCACUAUUAAAGUGAUUCUGGCUGCUAGAAAGGAGAACAUAUCCUACAACAUGAAAAAGUCAAGUCAACAGUUCACAUUGUUCACUCUAAACAAGAAUUUCACUUCAUCAGAAAGUUCAGUCCUCAAAAAAAGGGACCAGCUUUAACGUUUAAACCUGUGAGUUUUGGCUGUCCAUGUUAAAGACUGGAAAUGUAACAAUAAAAUAAACAUCCUAUAAACAAAUUUUCAGCAAUUAUGGAACCUCCAAAGAUUUGAGCCAUAAUUAAUAAUUUGUAUUGUAUAUUUUCUAUCAGCUGCAUGCAGAAUCUGGAUUGUAGGGACAGCUACAUUCGACGUUGGUGGAAAGCGAGCAAGGGAAACCAUGGGCACCAAUCUCAGUGUGUCCUCCCAGGUCCAGUGUUUGGGGUGACCUCCUUCCUUUCUUCCAACAGUGUCUUAAAGAAAGAACUGAACAAAUGAAGAUUAUGCUUUCUUCAAUCGACCCAAGGCUCCACUGGAGGAAAGGUGGACAAAGUCAGGAAGUUUGUGAACAAUGUGAUGGCCAAGUUUGUUCUCUGUGUUAAUGGAGCACUGUCCAUCAUCCACACAUAGUGUUUAACAAACCUGAGCUAUAUUUAAAUGAUGAGGUUCAUUUAAGCCCUAAGGGAAAUGAUAUAUAUAUUUUUUACUGAUAUUAUCCGGUGUUUGAGAGACCACAGACCAUAAGCCUGAUGCUGGAUUGGUGCAUGUUUUGGGAAAGAAGGUCUCCUGUAUUUUUUUUAAGUACCUGUAAAAGUACCCAGCAGUGUGUUCAACAAAUGCCUGACUUAAUAAAAGUA
Molecule: long non-coding RNA, 908 nt
Organism: Carassius gibelio (silver crucian carp)
Lineage: Eukaryota; Metazoa; Chordata; Actinopteri; Cypriniformes; Cyprinidae
Exons: 3
Source: RefSeq, a predicted model, not a curated record